UGUAUAGACGGUGAGCAUAAGCAGCAUCUUUAAGGCUAGGAGCCUAGAAUAAAUGAGAAACUGCUAUGUAAGUAAUGAUUUGGUGAAAGUGAAGUUAUAGAAGUUGUUUAGAUUGUUUUAACUAAACUGUAAUUAUCAUUGAAAUCACCUUUUUAGUUGGAAACGCUGAAAAGUAUGCGUGGAAGUUAACCCAAACAAUUCGGAUGUGGAUGCUAUUUCUCUUUUUAUGUUAGAUGUGUGCGAUGAUAUGGGUGUCUCAUUGAAUUGUAUUUUUUCUUUGCAGGUUGUGGACGGGAAACUAUCACAAACAUGCUACCUGAUGGUUCUUGAUUCAUGUUACAAGCGUUAUUGUAACAAAGUAUGAAAAGUUUGAAGGUAAACCAUUUUCAAUUUCUGAUGUUGACUCUUUCGUAUUCCAUUCUCCAUACAACAAGCUUGUGCAAAAAAGUUUUUCACGGCUAUAUUUCAAUGACUUCCUGCUUCAGUCUAGGUACAUUAUAUUUCAGUUCUGCACAUAUUAG
This is a long non-coding RNA of Dendrobium catenatum, 521 nucleotides long. RefSeq lists it as uncharacterized. Lineage: Eukaryota; Viridiplantae; Streptophyta; Magnoliopsida; Asparagales; Orchidaceae. The record is from RefSeq and is a predicted model, not a curated record. The transcript has 3 exons.